RNAcentral lists this ribosomal RNA (500 nucleotides) under uncultured bacterium. RNAcentral describes it as "bacterial SSU rRNA". It matches the Rfam family "Bacterial small subunit ribosomal RNA", at positions 29 to 525 of the family's 1533-position model. The record is from RNAcentral.
AUUGAACGCUGGCGGCAUGCCUUACACAUGCAAGUCGAACGGUAACGCGGGGCAACCUGGCGACGAGUGGCGAACGGGUGAGUAAUACAUCGGAACGUGCCCAGUAGUGGGGGAUAGCCCGGCGAAAGCCGGAUUAAUACCGCAUACGACCUACGGGUGAAAGCGGGGGAUCGCAAGACCUCGCGCUAUUGGAGCGGCCGAUGUCAGAUUAGGUAGUUGGUGGGGUAAAAGCCUACCAAGCCGACGAUCUGUAGCUGGUCUGAGAGGACGACCAGCCACACUGGGACUGAGACACGGCCCAGACUCCUACGGGAGGCAGCAGUGGGGAAUUUUGGACAAUGGGCGCAAGCCUGAUCCAGCCAUGCCGCGUGCGGGAAGAAGGCCUUCGGGUUGUAAACCGCUUUUGUCAGGGAAGAAACGCACUGGGCUAAUACCCCGGUGUAAUGACGGUACCUGAAGAAUAAGCACCGGCUAACUACGUGCCAGCAGCCGCGGUAAUA